Molecule: ribosomal RNA, 612 nt
Filed under: Basidiomycota sp. A25M036
Lineage: Eukaryota; Fungi; Basidiomycota
Description: eukaryotic LSU rRNA
Rfam family: Eukaryotic large subunit ribosomal RNA
Source: RNAcentral
GGAGGAAAAGAAACUAACUAGGAUUCCCUUAGUAACGGCGAGUGAACCGGGAUGAGCUCAAAUUUAAAAUCUGGCGUCUUUCAGGCGUCCGAGUUGUAAUCUAUAGAGGCGUUUUCCGCGCCGGACCGCGUCCAAGUCUCUUGGAAUAGAGUAUCAAAGAGGGUGACAAUCCCGUACUUGACGCGACAACCGGUGCUCUGUGAUACGUUCUCAAUGAGUCGAGUUGUUUGGGAAUGCAGCUCUAAAUGGGUGGUAAAUUCCAUCUAAGGCUAAAUAUUGGCGAGAGACCGAUAGCGAACAAGUACCGUGAGGGAAAGAUGAAAAGCACUUUGGAAAGAGAGUUAAACAGCACGUGAAAUUGUUAAAAGGGAAACGAUUGAAGUCAGUCGUGUGAAAGGUAUUCAGCCGUCUCUGGCGGUGUAUUUGCCUUUCACGGGUCAACAUCAGUUUGAUCCGGUAGAAAAAGGCAGGAGGAAGGUGGCACCCUCGGGUGUGUUAUAGCCUCUUGUCAUAUGUGCCGGACCAGACUGAGGAACGCAGCUUGCCGCAAGGCCGGGGUUCGCCCACGUACAAGCUUAGGAUGUUGACAUAAUGGCUUUAAACGACCCGUCU